RNAcentral lists this ribosomal RNA (510 nucleotides) under uncultured Acidobacteriota bacterium. RNAcentral's name for it is "bacterial SSU rRNA". It matches the Rfam family "Bacterial small subunit ribosomal RNA", at positions 393 to 896 of the family's 1533-position model. Lineage: Bacteria; Pseudomonadati; Acidobacteriota. The record is from RNAcentral.
AACGCCGCGUGGAGGAUGAAGGUCUUCGGAUUGUAAACUCCUGUUGCCCGGGACGAACAGCUCCGACCUACACGUCGGAGUCUGACGGUACCGGGUGAGGAAGCCCCGGCUAACUCCGUGCCAGCAGCCGCGGUAAUACGGAGGGGGCCAGCGUUGUUCGGAAUCAUUGGGCGUAAAGGGCGCGUAGGUGGCUGUGCAAGUCGGAGGUGAAAUCCCUCGGCCCAACCGAGGAACUGCCUCCGAAACUGCACAGCUCGAGUCCCGGAGAGGGCAGUGGAAUUCCCAGUGUAGCGGUGAAAUGCGUAGAUAUUGGGAGGAACACCGGUGGCGAAGGCGGCUGCCUGGACGGGUACUGACGCUGAGGCGCGAAAGCGUGGGGAGCAAACAGGAUUAGAUACCCUGGUAGUCCACGCUGUAAACGAUGGGCACUUGGUGUUGCGGGUAUCGACCCCUGCAGUGCCGAAGCUAACGCAUUAAGUGCCCCGCCUGGGGAGUACGGUCGCAAGGCUG